GGAAUAGUUUAGUGGCAGAGUGCAUGCUUAGCAUGCAUGAGGUCCUGGAUUCAAUCCCCAGUAACUCUA
This 69-nucleotide transfer RNA is filed under the name Camelus dromedarius (Arabian camel). It matches the Rfam family "tRNA". Rfam says of the family: Transfer RNA (tRNA) molecules are approximately 80 nucleotides in length. Their secondary structure includes four short double-helical elements and three loops (D, anti-codon, and T loops). RNAcentral also lists the same sequence under 1 other name. The record is from Rfam by way of RNAcentral. Lineage: Eukaryota; Metazoa; Chordata; Mammalia; Artiodactyla; Camelidae.